GGGAUUGCCCUAGUAACGGCGAGUGAAGCGGCAACAGCUCAAAUUUGAAAUCUGGCGCAAGCCCGAGUUGUAAUUUGUAGAGGAUGCUUCUGGGUAGCGACCGAUCUAAGUUCCUUGGAACAGGACGUCAUAGAGGGUGAGAAUCCCGUAUGUGACCGGCCCGCACCCUUUACGUAGCUCCUUCGACGAGUCGAGUUGUUUGGGAAUGCAGCUCUAAAUGGGAGGUAAAUUUCUUCUAAAGCUAAAUACCGGCCAGAGACCGAUAGCGCACAAGUAGAGUGAUCGAAAGAUGAAAAGUACUUUGGAAAGAGAGUUAAAAAGCACGUGAAAUUGUUGAAAGGGAAGCGCCUGCAACCAGACUUCGCGGCAGUGUUCCGCCGGUCUUCUGACCGGUUCAUUCUCUGUCGCGAGGCCAUCAUCGUCUGGGCCCGCCGGAUAAGACCUUGGGAAUGUAGCUCACCUUCGGGGGAGUGUUAUAGCCUAGGGUGAUGCGGCGAGGCCCGGGCGAGGUCCGCGCUUCGGCAAGGAUGAUGGCGUAAUGGUUGUCGGCGGCCCGUCUUGAAACACGGACCAAGGAGUCUAACAUCUAUGCGAGUGUUCGGGUGUCAAACCCCUACGCGUAAUGAAAGUGAACGGAGGUGGGAACCGCAAGGUGCACCAUCGACCGAUCCUGAUGUCCUCGGAUGGAUUUGAGUAAGAGCAUAGCUGUUGGGACCCGAAAGAUGGUGAACUAUGCCUGGAUAGGGUGAAGCCAGAGGAAACUCUGGUGGAGGCUCGCAGCGGUUCUGACGUGCAAAUCGAUCGUCAAAUUUGGGUAUAGGGGCG
This 825-nucleotide ribosomal RNA is filed under the name Septoria apiicola. RNAcentral describes it as "eukaryotic LSU rRNA". It matches the Rfam family "Eukaryotic large subunit ribosomal RNA", at positions 71 to 925 of the family's 3401-position model. Lineage: Eukaryota; Fungi; Ascomycota; Dothideomycetes; Mycosphaerellales; Mycosphaerellaceae. The record is from RNAcentral.